CCUACGGGCGGCUGCAGUGGGGAAUAUUGGACAAUGGGCGAAAGCCUGAUCCAGCCAUGCCGCGUGUGUGAAGAAGGCCUUCGGGUUGUAAAGCACUUUCAGUGGGGAAGAAAGCCUUGGGGCUAAUACCCUCGAGGAAGGACAUCACCCACAGAAGAAGCACCGGCUAACUCCGUGCCAGCAGCCGCGGUAAUACGGAGGGUGCGAGCGUUAAUCGGAAUUACUGGGCGUAAAGCGCGCGUAGGCGGUCUGAUAAGCCGGUUGUGAAAGCCCCGGGCUCAACCUGGGAACGGCAUCCGGAACUGUCAGGCUAGAGUGCAGGAGGGGAAGGUAGAAUUCCCGGUGUAGCGGUGAAAUGCGUAGAGAUCGGGAGGAAUACCAGUGGCGAAGGCGGCCUUCUGGACUGUCACUGACGCUGAGGUGCGAAAGCGUGGGUAGCAAACAGGAUUAGAUACCCCAGUAGUC
RNAcentral lists this ribosomal RNA (465 nucleotides) under Vreelandella stevensii. RNAcentral describes it as "partial 16S ribosomal RNA". It matches the Rfam family "Bacterial small subunit ribosomal RNA", at positions 338 to 795 of the family's 1533-position model. The record is from RNAcentral. Lineage: Bacteria; Pseudomonadati; Pseudomonadota; Gammaproteobacteria; Oceanospirillales; Halomonadaceae.